GAUGAACGCUGGCGGUGCGCCUAAUACAUGCAAGUCGAGCGAGAUUACGUUUGAAAUUUAUUUCAGAUGUAUGACAGCGGCGAACGAGCGAGUAAUACAUAAGAAGUUGCCCUGCACUCGGGGACAACCUUUCGAAAGGAAGGCUAAUACCCGAUAUUCUCUCACGAGGAAAGCUCCGGCGGUGCAGGAGACGCUUGUGGCCUAUCAGCUAGUUGGUGAAGUAAAAGCUCACCAAGGCUAUGACGGGUAGCUGGUCUGAGAAGAUGAUCAGCCGCGAUGGGACUGAGACACGGCCCAUACUCCUACGGGAGGCAGCAGUAGGGAAUCUUCCGCAAUGGACGAAAGUCUGACGGAGCGACACCGCGUGGAGGAUGACGGCCCUUUGGGUUGUAAACUCCUUUUCUGAGGGAAGAAGAUCUGACGGUACCUCAGGAAUAAGCCCCGGCUAAUUACG
Molecule: ribosomal RNA, 454 nt
Filed under: uncultured bacterium
Lineage: Bacteria
Description: bacterial SSU rRNA
Rfam family: Bacterial small subunit ribosomal RNA
Source: RNAcentral